AGGACCGCCGAGAUUGGGCCCUCCGUGCUCA
Molecule: small RNA, 31 nt
Filed under: Bombyx mori (domestic silkworm)
Lineage: Eukaryota; Metazoa; Arthropoda; Insecta; Lepidoptera; Bombycidae
Description: ovarian small RNA-12173
Source: RNAcentral